AUGGUCUUAUGUUCUGAAACGAAGCAUCACAAGGCCUCGGUUGGGCAACAGCAAGGAGGCGAUGGAGCGGGCGCUCUCAAGGGAGAGCAGCAGAGGGCAGCAGCAGCAGUGAGGCAAUGGUGGUGGUCGAACGAGGCAAGGCAGCUCGGCCGCGUGCGGGAAGAGGUCAUGGAAAACAUGGCGAGGCCGAAGAUGGGUCUCGGGCAGGGGCUGUCCACGGUUGGAGCAGAGGAGGUCGACGGGUGGCGGCGCUGGGUGCUUGUAUGCAGGGAGGCGGCGGAUGCAGGAAGCUCGCCGUGA
Molecule: ribosomal RNA, 300 nt
Filed under: Triticum aestivum (bread wheat)
Lineage: Eukaryota; Viridiplantae; Streptophyta; Magnoliopsida; Poales; Poaceae
Description: partial small subunit ribosomal RNA
Source: RNAcentral